Molecule: long non-coding RNA, 265 nt
Organism: Archocentrus centrarchus (flier cichlid)
Lineage: Eukaryota; Metazoa; Chordata; Actinopteri; Cichliformes; Cichlidae
Exons: 3
Source: RefSeq, a predicted model, not a curated record
CACAAAAUGUGUGGAAAAGCAUAACCAGCGUCAGAAAAUCACUAAGGCUUUCUUCAUUGACUCGUAUGAGAUGACCAACAUCUGGCAGAAGAAGACAUCAAAACUGAAGUGCAAACCAGAAACAUUUGAUAUUAUGUUGGGGGCAGUUCAUGAACCUGGACACUGGAUAUUUGCAGCUAUUUAUCCAAAACAAAAAAGGAGCAUUGUACUUGAUUCCAGUGGCCAUGCUUCUUCAAAACUUAAGAACUGUUUGGAAUCCACCAGG